ACCACACAGGCUCUGCAAAAACACACUCACUUCAGUUGUUUGGAAGCUGGGUGUAUAAACGACUUAAAACCCGGACGCGUGGAGCACAGCUGCCGCUGUCUAGUAAACAGGUCCGCUUGUCGUGGCGUUGGACCGCCAGGGGUGGGAAGGAGGUGGAAGACGGAUGACCGGAGCCUCGACCCCGGCGCACCACCUGCGAAGCCCGGGACAGGAUGAGCACAACGUCCGUAACAGGAUGUAAUUCAGAUUCAAGGCUCAGAUAAUAACACCAUCCUCCUGGACAACAUGGUGGGAAACCUCCGGAAACUGGGCCUCGGCAGCAAUAUCUGUGGCUGGGUCCUGAGCUUCCUGGCAGACAGACCCAAGCUGGUGAAAUCCCAUCCCCAGUGUUCAUCAACAUGGGGACUCCUCAAGGCCGCUAGCUGAGCCCAAGGCUGUACUUCCUCUUUAUUUAUUACUUUAAGAAACUGUAUAAUCAACUUUUUAAACGACUCCAUGGGUGUCAUCACCAAUAAUGAACGUGCUAACAGGAGUGAGGUGGCAGAGCUGCAGGAAGGGUGCCACAGCAUGCAACGGUCUCUCCCUGUAGGCCAUCAUCUUCAUCGAUAGCUAAGUCUGCACAUCUGCAAUAUUACUUCCAUUGUGUGUGACUUGUGAUGCGCUAUUUACUCCACAGUUGGAUGUCUGUUAUCUAUUUGUAUACUAUAAUUCUUUGUACUCUAUGUGGCUGAACAAAUAAGAAUUUUGUUGCACAUGGCCAAUAAAUCAUCUUGAAUCUA
Brienomyrus brachyistius is the source of this 779-nucleotide long non-coding RNA. RefSeq lists it as uncharacterized. The record is from RefSeq and is a predicted model, not a curated record. Lineage: Eukaryota; Metazoa; Chordata; Actinopteri; Osteoglossiformes; Mormyridae. The transcript has 2 exons.